This 240-nucleotide ribosomal RNA is filed under the name uncultured bacterium. RNAcentral's name for it is "partial 16S ribosomal RNA". It matches the Rfam family "Bacterial small subunit ribosomal RNA", at positions 15 to 245 of the family's 1533-position model. The record is from RNAcentral.
GAUCCUGGCUCAGGAUGAACGCUAGCUACAGGCUUAACACAUGCAAGUCGAGGGGCAGCAUUUUAGUUUGCUUGCAAACUAAAGAUGGCGACCGGCGCACGGGUGAGUAGCACGUAUCCAACCUGCCGAUAACUCAGGGAUAGCCUUUCGAAAGAAAGAUUAAUACCUGAUGGCAUAGGAUUAUCGCAUAAUAAUCCUAUUAAAGAAUUUCGGUUAUCGAUGGGGAUGCGUUCCAUUAGG